AAAGACAAAAAUUACUACUUUACUUUUUUAUUUAAAAAAGCUUUUAAACCUAAAUAAAAGACAAGGUUUUUGUUGCACAGAAUAACUACGCACAUUUUUUUAAAAGUUAAGAAAAUUUGAAUGGAGUGUUUGAAUGCCGAAAAGUUUGGUGGAUACGAUGCACAUUUUUUAGAAGAACUUUCAGACGAACAUGAAUGCCCUAUAUGUAAAAUGGCACUUCGUAAACCUAUUUUAACAAAGUGUGGUCAUCGACUUUGUUUAUCAUGUUCAGAAGAAAUGAAAAAAAGAAAAAACGGUGUUUUAAUUUGCCCAUUAGACAAUAAUAAUUUGAAACCUGAUCAGACUUUUCGAGAUAAAGCAAUUGAAAGAGCCGUUCUGCAAUUAAAAGUUAAAUGUAACAACUUUUUAAAAAAUUGUCAAUGGACUGGAGAACUUAAAGCAAUUAAUAAUCAUUUAGGAUCUUGUGAAUACCAAGAGGUAGAAUGCCUCAAUGAACAGUGUUCUACUUUACUUUUGCGUAAAGAACUAAGUGAUCACACGGAAACAAAAUGCAUUUAUCGUUUGAUUACAUGUCAACAUUGCAAUCAAGAGAUUCGUUUUUGUGAGAAGCAAAAUCACUUGGAAACUUGCGAAUCUCUACCACUUUAUUGUGUAAAUCAAUGUGGCAUGAAAAUUUUGCGUAAAGAGAUGUCAUCUCAUAUCACUGAUAGCUGCGCUAAUACAGUUAUUCCUUGUCAAUACUUUUACGUUGGAUGUAAUUUCAAGGGAAUGAGAAAAGAACAAGAUACUCAUGCCAAUUCUUCAACACAAAAUCAUCUUUCAAUGGCAAUAUCAAAAGUUGUUGCACUUGAAAAUAAAAUAAUGUUAACUGAGAAAGAAAUGGAAACAAAAAUUGCCAUUCUCAAAAAUGAAAUAGAAAUGAGGAAAGAACAACAUGCACGGGUAGAUUUUUUAACACAAAACCAGUUUUUAACAACAUCAAAUAUGGUUGAACUUGAAAAUAAAAUUUUGUUAAUUGAGAAAGAAAUGGAAAUAAAAAUGGUUAUACCCAAAAAUGAAAAGUAAAAUGUCAUAUCACCGGGCUGUUUGGUUGGAAGAAAAUCGUGAGGAAGAAGGAGUCUUACCAUCCGCAUGGGUGCGGGGAAAAGUAGUUAUGUGGCCCCCAUCCAAAAUGAAUGCGUUUAAAUUAAUGAAAGGAGUAGAACCUAAUGAAAAUUGGCGACUUUUUAAACUAAUAAAAAUAAAAAUUACUUCAGAUUGCUACGAGGAUUGUAAUAAUUAUGAUUUAACUACAGAAACUGAAGAAGAUAAUCAGCAAGUUU
RNA transcript from Hydra vulgaris (swiftwater hydra), 1322 nucleotides. It is a transcript of the gene named TNF receptor-associated factor 6-B, with no coding region annotated. The record is from RefSeq and is a predicted model, not a curated record. Lineage: Eukaryota; Metazoa; Cnidaria; Hydrozoa; Anthoathecata; Hydridae.